This 294-nucleotide ribosomal RNA is filed under the name uncultured bacterium. RNAcentral describes it as "partial 16S ribosomal RNA". It matches the Rfam family "Bacterial small subunit ribosomal RNA", at positions 773 to 1060 of the family's 1533-position model. The record is from RNAcentral.
GUGGAUUAGAUACCCGGGUAGUCCACGCUGUAAACGAUGUGCACUAGGUGUUGGAGGUACUUAAUCCUCCAGUGCCGCAGCUAACGCAUUAAGUGCACCGCCUGGGGAAUACGGCCGCAAGGUUAAAACUCAAAGGAAUUGACGGGGGCCCGCACAAGCGGUGGAGUAUGUGGUUUAAUUCGACGCAACACGCAAAACCUUACCUGGGCUUGACAUGCUGGGAUUAGCUCUGAGAAAUCAGAGCGAUUGCCUUCGGGUGUAACCAGCACAGGUGCUGCACGGCUGUCGUCAGCU